GAUGAACGCUGGCGGCGUGCCUAAUACAUGCAAGUCGAGCGAACAGACGAGGAGCUUGCUCCUCUGACGUUAGCGGCGGACGGGUGAGUAACACGUGGAUAACCUACCUAUAAGACUGGGAUAACUUCGGGAAACCGGAGCUAAUACCGGAUAAUAUAUUUAACCGCAUGGUUCAAUAGUGAAAGACGGUUUUGCUUUCACUUAUAGAUGGCUCCCCGCCGCAUUAGCUAGUUGGUAAGUUAACGGCUUACCAAGGCAACGAUGCGUAGCCGACCUGAGAGGGGGAUCGGCCACCCUGGAACUGAGACACGGUCCAGACUCCUACGGGAGGCAGCAGUAGGGAAUCUUCCGCAAUGGGCGAAGGCCUGACGGAGCAACGCCGCGUGAGUGAUGAAGGUCUUCGGAUCGUAAAACUCUGUUUUUAGGGAAGAACAAAUGUGUAAGUAACUAUGCACGUCUUGACGGUACCUAAUCAGAAAGCCACGGCUAACUACGUG
This 497-nucleotide ribosomal RNA is filed under the name uncultured bacterium. RNAcentral's name for it is "partial 16S ribosomal RNA". It matches the Rfam family "Bacterial small subunit ribosomal RNA", at positions 28 to 507 of the family's 1533-position model. The record is from RNAcentral.